RNAcentral lists this microRNA precursor (102 nucleotides) under Marmota monax (woodchuck). The record is from RNAcentral. Lineage: Eukaryota; Metazoa; Chordata; Mammalia; Rodentia; Sciuridae.
AGUAAAAUUGCUAAGUUAUAUGAUAGCUAUCUUUAGACCUUUUGGGGAACUUUCAGAUUGUUUUCCAAGGUGACUGAACUAUUUUACAUUCUUACCAGUCAU